Molecule: ribosomal RNA, 254 nt
Filed under: uncultured bacterium
Lineage: Bacteria
Description: partial 16S ribosomal RNA
Rfam family: Bacterial small subunit ribosomal RNA
Source: RNAcentral
AAUCCUACGGGACGCAGCAGUGGGGAAUAUUGCACAAUGGGGGAAACCCUGAUGCAGCGACGCCGCGUGAGUGAAGAAGUAUUUCGGUAUGUAAAGCUCUAUCAGCAGGGAAGAAGAAAGACGGUACCUGACUAAGAAGUCCCGGCUAACUACGUGCCAGCAGCUGCGGUAAUACGUAGGGGGCAAGCGUUAUCCGGAUUUACUGGGUGUAAAGGGAGCGUAGACGGCUGUGCAAGUCUGAAGUGAAAGCACAG